This is a non-coding RNA of Strongylocentrotus purpuratus (purple sea urchin), 69 nucleotides long. The record is from Rfam. Lineage: Eukaryota; Metazoa; Echinodermata; Echinoidea; Camarodonta; Strongylocentrotidae.
GGUAUGUUGGCUCAGUAGAGCGUCCGCCUCACAACCGGAAGGUCGUGGGUUCGAACCCCGGCCGCGUCA